ACAAUCACAACACCUUCAAAUCAAUCAAGCAAAUGUCACACGUUUUGUGCCAAUACAAAAAUCAAAAGAAAUUAAAAGCAAAAAGAAAAGCCCGCUAAGUCAAAAGCUUGAAAACAAGUGACUUAGGCAAAAAUUUGGGCAUCCUGGUGGACUGCAAACCACAAAGGAUCAGUCAGAGAAAAAAAUAAGGGAAAGCAAA
Molecule: long non-coding RNA, 199 nt
Filed under: Lathyrus oleraceus (garden pea)
Lineage: Eukaryota; Viridiplantae; Streptophyta; Magnoliopsida; Fabales; Fabaceae
Description: Pisum sativum (pea) long non-coding RNA (PSAT_LNC002132)
Source: RNAcentral